This 294-nucleotide signal recognition particle RNA is filed under the name Macaca fascicularis (crab-eating macaque). RNAcentral's name for it is "Metazoan signal recognition particle RNA (ENSMFAG00000013998.2)". It matches the Rfam family "Metazoan signal recognition particle RNA". From Rfam's summary of the family: The signal recognition particle (SRP) is a universally conserved ribonucleoprotein. It is involved in the co-translational targeting of proteins to membranes. The record is from RNAcentral. Lineage: Eukaryota; Metazoa; Chordata; Mammalia; Primates; Cercopithecidae.
GCCAGGCAUGGUGGCACAUGUCUGUGGUCCCAGCCACUCAGGAGGCUGAGGCAGGAGGAUCGGGGAGCCCAGGAGCACCAGGCUGAAGUGCACAAUGCUGACCGAGUGUGCACACUAAGUUUGGCGUCAAUAUGGUGACCUCCCGGGAGAAGAGGACCACCAGGUUGCUGAAGGAGGGGUGAUCCGGCCCAGGUCAGAAACAGAGCAGGUUAAAAUCCCGUGCUGGGCUGGGCGCGGUGGCUCAAGCCUGUAAUCCCAGCACUUUGGGAGGCCGAGACGGGUGGAUCACGAGGU